UACAGAGGGUGCAAGCGUUAAUCGGAGUUACUGGGCGUAAAGCGCACGUAGGUGGAUACAUAAGUUGGAUGUGAAAGACCUGGGCUCAACCUGGGAGGUGCAUACAAUACUGUGUGUCUAGAGUAUAAUAGAGGGAAGCGGAAUUUCCGGUGUAGCGGUGAAAUGCGUAGAUAUCGGAAGGAACAUCAGUUGCGAAGGCGGCUUCCUGGAUUAAUACUGACACUGAGGAGCGAAAGCGUGGGUAGCGAAC
Molecule: ribosomal RNA, 250 nt
Filed under: uncultured bacterium
Lineage: Bacteria
Description: partial 16S ribosomal RNA
Rfam family: Bacterial small subunit ribosomal RNA
Source: RNAcentral